Molecule: ribosomal RNA, 497 nt
Filed under: uncultured bacterium
Lineage: Bacteria
Description: partial 16S ribosomal RNA
Rfam family: Bacterial small subunit ribosomal RNA
Source: RNAcentral
GAUGAACGCUGGCGGCGUGCCUAAUACAUGCAAGUCGAGCGAACGGACGAGAAGCUUGCUUCUCUGAUGUUAGCGGCGGACGGGUGAGUAACACGUGGAUAACCUACCUAUAAGACUGUGAUAACUUCGGGAAACCGGAGCUAAUACCGGAUAAUAUUUUGAACCGCAUGGUUCAAAAGUGAAAGACGGUCUUGCUGUCACUUAUAGAUGGAUCCGCGCUGCAUUAGCUAGUUGGUAAGGUAACGGCUUACCAAGGCAACGAUGCAUAGCCGACCUGAGAGGGUGAUCGGCCACACUGGAACUGAGACACGGUCCAGACUCCUACGGGAGGCAGCAGUAGGGAAUCUUCCGCAAUGGGCGAAAGCCUGACGGAGCAACGCCGCGUGAGUGAUGAAGGUCUUCGGAUCGUAAAACUCUGUUAUUAGGGAAGAACAUAUGUGUAAGUAACUGUGCACAUCUUGACGGUACCUAAUCAGAAAGCCACGGCUAACUACGUA